RNAcentral lists this unclassified non-coding RNA (389 nucleotides) under fungal sp. Its description in RNAcentral is "partial internal transcribed spacer region". The stretch from base 1 to 46 matches the Rfam family "Eukaryotic small subunit ribosomal RNA", at positions 1786 to 1831 of the family's 1831-position model. RNAcentral also lists the same sequence under 1 other name. Lineage: Eukaryota; Fungi. The record is from RNAcentral.
AAGUCGUAACAAGGUAUCCGUAGGUGAACCUGCGGAUGGAUCAUUAACGAUACGUGUUGUUCGGCAACGAACACGCGUUCAUACCAACCAAACCUGUGCGAGGAGAUUUCUACUAGCGUUGACGGACUUUUUUGAAGUUCGACGGCGUUAUGGAAUUCUCCGUUUCUUUCUAUUUUCCUUUCUUAUACAAACCUUAAAACCCUAACUUCUUCGUUUUCGAAGGACUGAAACACACUUUUUCAAAUCGAAAGUAAGAAUGCCAUACUGUUGACGUUUGUCUCUAUUAGACGGUUUCGCAAGAAACCUGUUGAACGGACGGUCACACCUUGGUCUUCUUCGAUUAGAUAUGAAAUCCUGUACAACUCUUAGCAACGGAUAUCUUGGUUCUC